Molecule: ribosomal RNA, 179 nt
Filed under: uncultured Gayadomonas sp.
Lineage: Bacteria; Pseudomonadati; Pseudomonadota; Gammaproteobacteria; Alteromonadales; Alteromonadaceae
Description: partial 16S ribosomal RNA
Rfam family: Bacterial small subunit ribosomal RNA
Source: RNAcentral
AUAUUGCACAAUGGGCGCAAGCCUGAUGCAGCCAUGCCGCGUGUGUGAAGAAGGCCUUCGGGUUGUAAAGCACUUUCAGCAGUGAGGAAAGGGUGUUGGUUAAUACCCAUCAUCUGUGACGUUAACUGCAGAAGAAGCACCGGCUAACUCCGUGCCAGCAGCCGCGGUAAUACGGAGGG